RNAcentral lists this transfer RNA (73 nucleotides) under Felis catus (domestic cat). It matches the Rfam family "tRNA". Rfam says of the family: Transfer RNA (tRNA) molecules are approximately 80 nucleotides in length. Their secondary structure includes four short double-helical elements and three loops (D, anti-codon, and T loops). Further hydrogen bonds mediate the characteristic L-shaped molecular structure. tRNAs have two regions of fundamental functional importance: the anti-codon, which is responsible for specific mRNA codon recognition, and the 3' end, to which the tRNAs corresponding amino acid is attached (by aminoacyl-tRNA synthetases). tRNAs cope with the degeneracy of the genetic code in two manners: having more than one tRNA (with a specific anti-codon) for a particular amino acid; and 'wobble' base-pairing, i.e. permitting non-standard base-pairing at the 3rd anti-codon position. The record is from Rfam by way of RNAcentral. Lineage: Eukaryota; Metazoa; Chordata; Mammalia; Carnivora; Felidae.
GCCUGCCUGGCUUAGUCGGUAGAUCGUCUGACUCUUGAUCUUGAGGUUGUGAGUUCGAGUCUCACGUUGGGUG